CCUACGGCGGGCUGCAGUGGGGAAUAUUGGACAAUGGGGGGAACCCUGAUCCAGCCAUGCCGCGUGUGUGAAGAAGGCCCUCGGGUUGUAAAGCACUUUCAGUGAGGAAGAACGCCUGGUGGUUAAUACCCAUCAGGAAAGACAUCACUCACAGAAGAAGCACCGGCUAACUCCGUGCCAGCAGCCGCGGUAAUACGGAGGGUGCGAGCGUUAAUCGGAAUUACUGGGCGUAAAGCGCGCGUAGGUGGCUUGAUAAGCCGGUUGUGAAAGCCCCGGGCUCAACCUGGGAACGGCAUCCGGAACUGUCAAGCUAGAGUGCAGGAGAGGAAGGUAGAAUUCCCGGUGUAGCGGUGAAAUGCGUAGAGAUCGGGAGGAAUACCAGUGGCGAAGGCGGCCUUCUGGACUGACACUGACACUGAGGUGCGAAAGCGUGGGUAGCAAACAGGAUUAGAUACCCGGGUAGUC
RNAcentral lists this ribosomal RNA (465 nucleotides) under Vreelandella stevensii. Its description in RNAcentral is "partial 16S ribosomal RNA". It matches the Rfam family "Bacterial small subunit ribosomal RNA", at positions 338 to 795 of the family's 1533-position model. The record is from RNAcentral. Lineage: Bacteria; Pseudomonadati; Pseudomonadota; Gammaproteobacteria; Oceanospirillales; Halomonadaceae.